Long non-coding RNA from Osmia lignaria (orchard mason bee), 471 nucleotides. RefSeq lists it as uncharacterized. The record is from RefSeq and is a predicted model, not a curated record. NCBI's taxonomy places the organism in Eukaryota, Metazoa, Arthropoda, Insecta, Hymenoptera, Megachilidae.
GCGUCUUACCAUUUCGACCAAUCAGGUUUAUCGUUGUAGGGUGCAACGGGCGGAGUGUGGUGGCGUGCAACAGUCGUCUUCGAAGCUGCGUCUGUUUAGCACGUGUCUGCAACAGACGUGUUCGUGUCGUGUACUUGCUUAGGGAUCGGCCUAUAGCAGAAUAUACCGAACAUUGCCGAGUGUUGCCGAAGUGCCGACCGGUCUACGAUGGGAAGGAAGGUCUCCCCAUUGCUCUCUCGAGCGUCGAAGUGAGAAGACGUGUUUAGGUCGUGCUCCCGCAUAAGCUAUUGCAAAAAUAUUUAUUUGAUUUCAAAAAGGCACCAUGGGAUACAACGCCAUUGAUAUUGGUUCGAAAUAUAAUUUUGUAAAGGGUAUAUAAUAUAAUUAGUAACGUUUUAAUUUAUUAUAAUCAAUUAUUAAUGCUUUUUUUGAAUCGUUGUUAAGUGUAAGCAUGUUUGAUAAUUAAUUGGU